CAGACAUUUGGUGUAUGUGCUUGGCUG
RNAcentral lists this non-coding RNA (27 nucleotides) under Gallus gallus (chicken). Lineage: Eukaryota; Metazoa; Chordata; Aves; Galliformes; Phasianidae. RNAcentral also lists the same sequence under 3 other names. The record is from RNAcentral.